GGGCACAUGGUGUAGUUGGUUUAUCACGCCCGCUUAGCAUAAUGAUGAUUUGGGAAGUGCUUUGUGCGGGAGGUGUUGGGUUCAAUUCCCAAUGUGUCCA
Non-coding RNA from Armillaria borealis, 100 nucleotides. The record is from the annotation of a GenBank genome assembly. Lineage: Eukaryota; Fungi; Basidiomycota; Agaricomycetes; Agaricales; Physalacriaceae.